UAGGGUAAUGCCUGGAUGUUGAGGUU
RNAcentral lists this non-coding RNA (26 nucleotides) under Rattus norvegicus (Norway rat). Lineage: Eukaryota; Metazoa; Chordata; Mammalia; Rodentia; Muridae. The record is from RNAcentral.